AUGUAUAGGUUGCGUCUUGACGGUGCGCCACCAGACAGAACCCCGCGUGCAUCAAGGAUGAGUGCUCUAGAGACGUCGUUUCACAAGUUUGCCGAGGAACCAACGAAAGGAUUAAAUUUUGAUUCACUUGGUGAGGCGUAUAACUUCUACAAUUUGUACUCAAGGGAGAUCGGCUUCGGGAUAAGAUAUGGGAAAAGCAUGUUGAAUGCAGAGAUGACGAAAUCAAUGCAGAAGAUUGUUUGCGGCUGCUCGGUAAGAUGUUCAAGCAGCUUUGUUGCAGUAUAUGGAAGUGUUGGGAGUAGUCUAGGAAACAUUCUUGCAGAUUGGUUGGGUUUCGAGGACUGUCAGGGAAACAUUCUUGCAGGGGGGCUGCCUGGGAAUGGUGAAGUUACAAUACUAGCAAACGGUGGUGCUGACUGCGAAAUGGGCCCAACUCAGUCGGUCAGUGUGAAUGCCCUAGUAGGAUUAGCUUCACCAGAUAAGCAAAGAGGGGCUGGCAGGCCAACCGCCAACGAAUAG
RNAcentral lists this ribosomal RNA (519 nucleotides) under Triticum aestivum (bread wheat). RNAcentral describes it as "partial small subunit ribosomal RNA". Lineage: Eukaryota; Viridiplantae; Streptophyta; Magnoliopsida; Poales; Poaceae. The record is from RNAcentral.